RNAcentral lists this ribosomal RNA (253 nucleotides) under uncultured bacterium. RNAcentral's name for it is "partial 16S ribosomal RNA". It matches the Rfam family "Bacterial small subunit ribosomal RNA", at positions 524 to 776 of the family's 1533-position model. The record is from RNAcentral.
UACGGAGGGAGCUAGCGUUGUUCGGAAUUACUGGGCGUAAAGCGCACGUAGGCGGCUUUGUAAGUUAGAGGUGAAAGCCCGGGGCUCAACCCCGGAACUGCCUUUAAGACUGCAUCGCUUGAAUCCAGGAGAGGUGAGUGGAAUUCCGAGUGUAGAGGUGAAAUUCGUAGAUAUUCGGAAGAACACCAGUGGCGAAGGCGACUUACUGGACACAUAUUGACGCUGAGGUGCGAAAGCGUGGGGAGCAAACAGG